AGUGAACGCUGGCGGUAGGCCUAACACAUGCAAGUCGAACGGCAGCACAGUAAGAGCUUGCUCUUACGGGUGGCGAGUGGCGGACGGGUGAGGAAUACAUCGGAAUCUACUUUUUCGUGGGGGAUAACGUAGGGAAACUUACGCUAAUACCGCAUACGACCUACGGGUGAAAGCAGGGGAUCUUCGGACCUUGCGCGAUUGAAUGAGCCGAUGUCGGAUUAGCUAGUUGGCGGGGUAAAGGCCCACCAAGGCGACGAUCCGUAGCUGGUCUGAGAGGAUGAUAAGCGACACUGGAACUGAGACACGGUCCAGACGCCUACGGGAGGCAGCAGUGGGGAAUAUUGGACAAUGGGCGCAAGCCUGAUCCAGCCAUACCGCGUGGGUGAAGAAGGCCUUCGGGUUGUAAAGCCCUUUUGUUGGGAAAGAAAAGCAGCAGGUUAAUACCCCGCUGUUCUGACGGUACCCAAAGAAUAAGCACCGGCUAACUUCGUG
RNAcentral lists this ribosomal RNA (492 nucleotides) under uncultured bacterium. RNAcentral's name for it is "partial 16S ribosomal RNA". It matches the Rfam family "Bacterial small subunit ribosomal RNA", at positions 29 to 507 of the family's 1533-position model. The record is from RNAcentral.